Molecule: small RNA, 28 nt
Filed under: Bombyx mori (domestic silkworm)
Lineage: Eukaryota; Metazoa; Arthropoda; Insecta; Lepidoptera; Bombycidae
Description: ovarian small RNA-33462
Source: RNAcentral
UGCACGCUUACAAUCGGGUACGCUGCCC